AUUGAACGCUAGCGGCAGGCUUAACACAUGCAAGUCGAGGGGUAUAGGUUUUCGGACCUAGAGACCGGCGCACGGGUGCGUAACGCGUAUGCAAUCUACCUUUUGCAGAGGGAUAGCCCAGAGAAAUUUGGAUUAAUACCUCAUAGUAUAUGGACUUCGCAUGGAGACCAUAUUAAAGUUCCAACGGCAAAAGAUGAGCAUGCGUCCCAUUAGCUAGAUGGUAAGGUAACGGCUUACCAUGGCUACGAUGGGUAGGGGUCCUGAGAGGGAGAUCCCCCACACUGGUACUGAGACACGGACCAGACUCCUACGGGAGGCAGCAGUGAGGAAUAUUGGACAAUGGGCGCAAGCCUGAUCCAGCCAUGCCGCGUGCAGGAUGAA
RNAcentral lists this ribosomal RNA (381 nucleotides) under uncultured bacterium. RNAcentral's name for it is "bacterial SSU rRNA". It matches the Rfam family "Bacterial small subunit ribosomal RNA", at positions 30 to 412 of the family's 1533-position model. The record is from RNAcentral.